UUUGUAAAACCCCCCAACCUUAAUAAAGAGAAUAGAAAGAGUACAAAUAGGAGAGUGAACAGUUAAAAUGGUUAGAUGCAAGAGUGUCCGUAGGUCAUUAGGCUCAGUUCUUGCUAAAGUAGAGACUUGUAAAAUCAAAAGGCACAAAGAGUCAGUCAACAUAAUUACUGGAUCCAGUCGGUAAUUCUCAAUUAGGAAACGUGCCUCUCAUGGGAAGGGUGUAUCACAGUCCCUCAAAGCUAUCUCACAUGGGUAUGGUUUGAAAAAAGCACCUUCAAAAAAUUGUAAGUACAGCUCUGUUGUAUAAAAUGAAAGAAAGUGAUUUUAUAAUACAACUCACAGGAAGUAAAACUCAAUAGACUCUUCUUGACGGGUGAGGAAAUCCCAGAGAUACAAUGAUUUCUAUUGUGUCUGGUGAGUGGGCAAUAGUAGGUCCCUUAAAAGGGACCUAGCUGACUUAGGGAUUUAAUGAAAAUAUGUAAAGAGUAAGUUUAUCAAGUGUGGCGUAUAUAUUUAAAAAAAAAAGAAUAGAAACAAAGGAUGAAAAAAACUAAAGAAUGAGAAAUUGCUCUAAAAGUCUAAGCAGCUCCUGACCACCACCUUGACACUACAGUUGUAUCCACUUUUGACCAACUACAGUUAUAGUACACAGCUUUCAACCAAAAGACAUACCAGGUCUGGCAGGACAUAUUUUAGCUCCUGUACUAAAAGUAAUUCAGCUUCAGUUCUAAUUUAUUUAGGUUAUUUUCUUUACAUCAGAGGUCUUUUAAAUUUUGUUAAGACAGUACAAAUAUUUCUUAGUUAUAUAGGAAAGGAAUAGGUGAUGUUUUGAGUGAUAUUCAGUGUGUCUCCCUUAACCCCAUCCUUUGGAAUCUUAAAUAGCUGCGUUAUUUUUGUUUGUGUUUUACAGUUUUUGAGACAGUGUCCUUGAGUUCAGACUCUCUCUUCCAGAGGGCAGUUUCACUCCUCCAUACUUCUUACUUGGACUCUUCAUCUGAGCAUGGUUUUCAGUACAGUCAAGUGACUUUGGUGAAAAAUGACAUUUUCUUAAAUGAGGUGAGGUGCUUGGUACACACUAUGAUGGUUUUGUUUUAGUUUUAAAAGAGGUAAACCCAUCAUUUUUGGUAUAUAAGCCUAGCACUUUUUAGCUAUAAUUUUUCAGACGCAGCAGAUCCUUGGAAAUAGUCACUUGGAAGGUAAUUAUUCUAGGGAAUAGAAAAAUAAUGCAUUUAUGUUUAGUCUUAAUGGCAGGAAGAAUUCAAAUGAUGCAUUUUUAAAAAUUUGCAAGACAAAAUAGUAUGUUUAUAGCGUUUGGUUAUUCUGUUCUCUCUUUAUACAGUACAAAACUUUUUACCAACAAAAAAAAGCAAGUAGUUAUACUCAGGAAGAACUUCAAGACACUUACGGGUUUCUUCUGUUUGAUACUGAAAAGCAGGCAAAAUUGGUAUGUCAGUGUGGACUCCGUGUUGGCAGCAGUGCUGUUACCACUCUGGGUGAUCCAGCCAAAGGUAAGUCCGUAAAG
Molecule: long non-coding RNA, 1522 nt
Filed under: Homo sapiens (human)
Lineage: Eukaryota; Metazoa; Chordata; Mammalia; Primates; Hominidae
Description: HSALNT0158262
Source: RNAcentral